RNAcentral lists this ribosomal RNA (254 nucleotides) under uncultured bacterium. Its description in RNAcentral is "partial 16S ribosomal RNA". It matches the Rfam family "Bacterial small subunit ribosomal RNA", at positions 524 to 776 of the family's 1533-position model. The record is from RNAcentral.
UACGGAGGGUGCGAACGUUACUCGGAAUCACUGGGCGUAAAGCGCGCGUAGGCGGUCUGUUAAGUGGGAUGUGAAAUCCCCGGGCUUAACCUGGGAACUGCAUUGGUGACUGGCAGGCUUUGAGUGUGGCAGAGGGAGGUAGAAUUCCACGUGUAGCAGUGAAAUGCGUAGAGAUGUGGAGGAAUACCGAUGGCGAAGGCAGCCUCCUGGGCCAACACUGACGCUCAUGCACGAAAGCGUGGGGAGCAAACAGG